AAACUUUCAACAACGGAUCUCUUGGUUCCCGCAUCGAUGAAGAACGCAGCAAAAUGCGAUAAGUAAUGUGAAUUGCAGAAUUUAGUGAAUCAUCGAAUCUUUGAACGCACAUUGCGCUCCUUGGUAUUCCGAGGAGCAUGCCUGUUCGAGCGUCAUUG
RNAcentral lists this ribosomal RNA (158 nucleotides) under Maasoglossum asaeptatum. RNAcentral describes it as "Maasoglossum aseptatum 5.8S ribosomal RNA". It matches the Rfam family "5.8S ribosomal RNA". Rfam says of the family: 5.8S ribosomal RNA (5.8S rRNA) is a component of the large subunit of the eukaryotic ribosome. Lineage: Eukaryota; Fungi; Ascomycota; Geoglossomycetes; Geoglossales; Geoglossaceae. The record is from RNAcentral.